CCCUUGAUGGUCCAGCUAAGACUCCACACUCCCAAUGCAGAGAGUCCAGGUUCAAUCCCUGGUCAAGGAA
Molecule: transfer RNA, 70 nt
Organism: Ovis aries (sheep)
Lineage: Eukaryota; Metazoa; Chordata; Mammalia; Artiodactyla; Bovidae
Rfam family: tRNA
About the family: Transfer RNA (tRNA) molecules are approximately 80 nucleotides in length. Their secondary structure includes four short double-helical elements and three loops (D, anti-codon, and T loops).
Source: Rfam